This 81-nucleotide non-coding RNA is filed under the name uncultured Symbiodinium. The record is from RNAcentral. Lineage: Eukaryota; Dinophyceae; Suessiales; Symbiodiniaceae.
GCAGCGAACACACAGGGAGCUUGCUCCCACAUAUGCUGCGGGGAAAGUCCUCGUGCCUUGGGGCAGAAAGUGCCACUGGGA